UGAAUGUCAAAGUGAAGAAAUUC
This 23-nucleotide non-coding RNA is filed under the name Drosophila melanogaster (fruit fly). RNAcentral also lists the same sequence under 4 other names. Lineage: Eukaryota; Metazoa; Arthropoda; Insecta; Diptera; Drosophilidae. The record is from RNAcentral.